GAUGAAGAACGUAGCAAAAUGCGAUAAGUAAUGUGAAUUGCAGAAUUCAGUGAAUCAUCGAAUCUUUGAACGCACAUUGCGCCCCUUGGUAUUCCAUGGGGCAUGCCUGUUCGAGCGUCAUUUGUACCUUCAAGCUCUGCUUGGUGUUGGGUGUUUGUCUCGCCUCUGCGUGUAGACUCGCCUCAAAACAAUUGGCAGCCGGCGUAUUGAUUUCGGAGCGCAGUACAUCUCGCGCUUUGCACUCAUAACGACGACGUCCAAAAGUACAUUUUUACACUCUUGACCUCGGAUCAGGUAGGGAUACCCGCUGAACUUAAGCAUAUCAAUAAGCGGAGGA
Molecule: unclassified non-coding RNA, 337 nt
Filed under: soil metagenome
Description: partial contains 5.8S ribosomal RNA, internal transcribed spacer 2, and large subunit ribosomal RNA
Rfam family: 5.8S ribosomal RNA (bases 1-120)
Source: RNAcentral